AGUGAACGCUGGCGGCGUGCCUAAUACAUGCAAGUCGAACGAAUUGGCGCACGGGUGAGUAAUAUAUAGUUAAUCUGCCCUACACAGAGGAACAACAGUUGGAAACGACUGCUAAUACCUCUUAGUGUAGGAUGAGACUAUAUCGUAUCAGCUAGUUGGUAAGGUAAUGGCUUACCAAGGCUAUGACGCGUAACUGGUCUGAGAGGAUGAUCAGUAACAUUGGAAGGGAGGCACGGUCAAAACUCCUACGGGAGGCAACAGUAAGGAAUAUGGCGCAAUGGGGGAAACCCUGACGCAGCAACGGCGCGUGGAGGAUGACACUUAGAGGAGAGUAAACUCCUUAUAUAAGGAAAGCGGUACCUGAUGAAUAAGCACCGGCUAACUCCGUGCCAGCAGCCGCGGUAAUAC
Molecule: ribosomal RNA, 408 nt
Filed under: uncultured bacterium
Lineage: Bacteria
Description: partial 16S ribosomal RNA
Rfam family: Bacterial small subunit ribosomal RNA
Source: RNAcentral